RNAcentral lists this ribosomal RNA (351 nucleotides) under Triticum aestivum (bread wheat). Its description in RNAcentral is "partial small subunit ribosomal RNA". The record is from RNAcentral. Lineage: Eukaryota; Viridiplantae; Streptophyta; Magnoliopsida; Poales; Poaceae.
AUGAGAGACAAUUCAACUCAAAGAUGUCGCAUGGGAGCUAUUUGCCCGGUUGGAGCACGGGACACGGCGGAAAGUGCGGGAGGCGGAGGCGUGGAGAACCGGGAGCGGCUGGUCGAAGCAGACCGUGAAAGAACACUGCGUCCAUACAAGGUCGCUGCCGGUGUCCAGUGUGAGCACGACACGCUGCGGGCGCGGUGUGCGGACGCUCAAGUGGACGAGAUACUCAGAAAGACCGAGGUCCAACCCGCCGCGGUCACCGCCGAGUCGCUGGCGGGCAGGCGUAGCCGCGUAGGCUGGCCACACGAGCCUUUGACCGUGCCGCCAUCCGGCGGAGAAGCUCGUGCUUGGUGA